This 73-nucleotide transfer RNA is filed under the name Stegodyphus mimosarum. It matches the Rfam family "tRNA". Rfam says of the family: Transfer RNA (tRNA) molecules are approximately 80 nucleotides in length. Their secondary structure includes four short double-helical elements and three loops (D, anti-codon, and T loops). Further hydrogen bonds mediate the characteristic L-shaped molecular structure. tRNAs have two regions of fundamental functional importance: the anti-codon, which is responsible for specific mRNA codon recognition, and the 3' end, to which the tRNAs corresponding amino acid is attached (by aminoacyl-tRNA synthetases). tRNAs cope with the degeneracy of the genetic code in two manners: having more than one tRNA (with a specific anti-codon) for a particular amino acid; and 'wobble' base-pairing, i.e. permitting non-standard base-pairing at the 3rd anti-codon position. The record is from Rfam by way of RNAcentral. Lineage: Eukaryota; Metazoa; Arthropoda; Arachnida; Araneae; Eresidae.
GCCUUCGUGGUGUAGUGGUCAGCACGCUCGACGCGUAACCGAGAGGUCCGUGGUUCGAAUCCCAGCAAAGGCA